This 3311-nucleotide long non-coding RNA is filed under the name Homo sapiens (human). Its description in RNAcentral is "HSALNT0172007". Lineage: Eukaryota; Metazoa; Chordata; Mammalia; Primates; Hominidae. The record is from RNAcentral.
GGUUGCCGUCUGCCACCAAUCCGCGCAGGGCAGCGAGGAGGAGCCACAGGGCUGAGCUCGGUUGCGGCGCAGCCCCGCCGCAGUGCGCAAAGCCAUAUUCGCGAAGUCUCUGAGGCUGAGCCAGUGGCGUAAGGGGCGCCGAGCGCUGUCGAGAUGAGGGUUGCGUGCGUAAAGCCGGAGAGCCCUUUUGAGUCUGCGUUGGCGUGGCUGCUGCUUCUUGCUCCAGUCCCUUUGUUCACUGAGUCCAUAUGCCAUGCUCCAGUUGUAUCAUCCCCUUUUCCCUCGACCUCGUUUUCUCACCGGGAAUAUGGGAAGAAAACGCACCCUUACCUCCCCCGAACCCUGUGCGUGGCGAGUGAGCAUUGCUUUUCUUGGCGCCCCUUGGAGCUGUGGCUGCCCUCGCGUGCCUGGCCUCUCCCGGGGCUGAGCCCUUCGGGUUGAGGCCUGGAGCCCCCGGGCGCAGCGCCGGGACACUACCCGGCUCCAGGUCCUCGGCUUCGGCAGCCUUAGGGAACCCAGAAAGUAGUGGGGAGGAGGCGAGACGUGCGCCCGGAUGCCAAAGGGGAGCUUCAUUCAGCUCCUUAUUGGCCCACCCCCUGCAGAGUGAAUGAGAAAGUGAUGAAAGGAAGGGGUUGAUUUUCUUCGAACCGCACAGAAGAAGCUGCUUUUCCCAUAGGAAUGUCCGGCUGGCGGUCACCGAGGAAAACACCCUGUGUGUCAGACUUCCGCGGGUGUUUGGAGGAUUUCGAAUUGCUAGCUCCUGUUUUUUUUUGUUUUUUGUUUGUUUAAGUGCACGUUAAACAUUGUCAGUUGUGUAUUUUCAUUUUAUUUAAGGUUCACCAUAAGAAAUAGGAUUAAGCUUUUCAAAGCCGGCAAGUUGAACUAUUUAUACUUACCAGAGACAAGGCCUUGCUCUGUUACACAGGCUGGAGUGCAGUGGUGUGAUCAUAGCUCACUACAACCUUGAACUCCUGGGCUCAAAGAAUCCUCCGGCCUCAGCCUCCCAAGUAGCUAGGACUACAGGCACAUAUUACCAUGCCUGACUACUUUUAAAACUUUUUUUUUCCUAAGAGAUAGGGUCUAGCUAUGUUGCCCAGGUUAGUCUUGAACUCCUCACCUCAGCCUCCCAAAGUGCUGGGAUUACAGGUGUAAUCCCACCACACCCAGCCCCAUAUCUGUUUUUUAAACUUUUUUUCCAGUGAUCUUUCCUUGACUUUAUACUUUCUCUCUUAAUAGAGCACAGAGUGAGCAGAAGUAAACAAAAUAGACACUAGAAAAACACAGAAAAGAUCAAUGAAACUAAGUGGUGGCUUUUAUAAAAGCUAAAAAAAUCAAUAAACCUUUAACUAGACUAGCAGAGAAAAAGAGAAGACGUGAAUAAAAUCAGAAAUGAGAAAGGAGACAUUACAAUUGAUACAACAGAAAUAGAAAAGAUCAUGAGGCUACUCUGAACAAUUAUAACCAACAAAUUGGAUUAACUAGAAGAAAUGGAUAAUUUCCUUGACACAUAAAACCUACCAAAAUUGAAUUAUGGAGAGAAAGAAAAUCUGAAUUGACCAAUAACAGGUAGGAGACUGAAUCAGUAGUAAAAAGUCUCUCAUCAAAGAAAAGCCCAGGACCACAUGGUUGCACUGGUGAAUGCUACCAAACAUUUAGAGAAUAUUCCUUGUUUGAAUAUUUUUGAUUAGUGAUUCAAACUGCUUACUCAUUAUUGGUCUAUUCAGAUUUUCUAUUUUUCAUGGUUCAGUCUUCCUAGGUUGUAUGUGUCUAGGAACUUAACCAUUUCUUCUAGGUUAUCCAGUUUGCUGGCAUGUAAUUGUUCAUAGUAGUCUCUUAAGAUCCUUUGUGUUUCUGUGGUACCCAUUGUAAUGUCUCCUCUUUCAUUUAUAGUUAUUUGAGUCUCCUGUCUUUCUUAGCCUAGAUAAUGCUUUGUCAAUUUUCGUUUUUUAAAAAAAAUUUAGUUCACUGAUCUUUUCUUUUGUUUUUCUAGUCUCUAUUUCACUUGUGCUCUAAUCUGUAUUAUUUCCUUACCUCUGCAAACUUAGUUUGUUCUUGUUUAUCUAGUUCCUUCAGAUGGAAAGUUAUUUAUUUAAGAUCUUUCUUUUUCUUAAUUAGGUAUUUAUUGCUGUCACUUUCCCUCUUGAACUCCUUUUGCUGCAUCUCAUAAAUGUGUGUGUGUGUGUGUGUGUGUGUGUGUGUGUGUGUGUGUGUGUGUGAUAGAUCUCACUCUUUUGCCCAGGCUUGAGUGCAGUGGUGUGAUCUUGGCUCACUGCAACCUCCGCCUCCCAGGUUCAAGCAAUUCUCCCACCUCAGCCUCCCAAGUAGCUGGGACUACAGGUGCCUGCCAUCACGCCCGGCUACUUUUUGUAUUUUUAGUAGAGAUGGGGGUUUCACCAUGUUGGCCAGGCUAGUCUUGAACUCCUGACCUCGAGUGAUGUGCCAGCCUUGGCCUCCCAAAAUGCUGAGAUUACAGGCAUGAGCCACUGCACCUAGCCACAUCCCAUAAAUUUCGGUAUGUUGUGUUUCCAUUUUCAUUUGUCUUAAGAUAUUUCUGAUUUCUUCUUUGACCCAUUGGUUGUUCAGGAGUGUUAAUUCCACAUACUUGCAAAUUUUCCAAGUUUUCUCCUGUUAAUUAUUUCCAGUUUCAUACCAGUGUGUGAAACCUUUCCUUGAUGUAGUAAUAGAUAUAAAUACACACAUAUGUAUAGGUUUCCAUCUAUGAUUCCUGGCUCAUAACUCCCAGAGUCCUUGUUACAGUCUUUUGUUACAAUGUUGGUAUGUUAGGCCUCUCUGACUUUCUCCAGUGUUCCUUUCACCUGCCCCAAGGCAGGUCUGUAAUCUGAUUGUGGGUCAUAAGACCACCAUUCCAGAGAGGGUCCCAUCCCAUACCCUGGGGGAAGGAAUGCUAACGUCACGAAGCUUCUAUAAAAAGCCAGGAUGACUGGAUUUAGAGAGCUUCUGGAUAGCUGAACACAUGCAAGUUCCUGGAGGGCAGCUCGCCCAGGGAGGGCAUGGGAGUUCUGUGCCCCUUCCCCCAUACCUCACCCUGAGCAUCUCUUCAUCUGUAUCCUUUGUAAUAAAAUAAAUUGGUAAACAUGUUUCCCUGAGUUCUGUGAGUCACUAUAGCCAAUUAAUUGAACCCCAAGAGGGAUUGUGGGAACCCCAACUUGAAGCCAGUUGUCAGAAGUUCCAGAGGCCCCAGACCUGUGACUGGUGUCUAGCAGUGUUGGGAGAGGGAAAGAGGACAAUCUUUGGGGGGCUGAGCCCUUACCCUGUGGGAUCAGACACUAUUUCCAGGUAGAUAGUGUUGG